This 372-nucleotide ribosomal RNA is filed under the name Triticum aestivum (bread wheat). RNAcentral's name for it is "partial small subunit ribosomal RNA". Lineage: Eukaryota; Viridiplantae; Streptophyta; Magnoliopsida; Poales; Poaceae. The record is from RNAcentral.
AUGGCUGCCUUGAGGUGCUACUCUUCUACUGCUGCAAUCAUAGUCCCAAGGAGGAAGAUUUGUGCAAGAGCUUCCAUGGAUGGCUGCUCCAGUUCCGAAUCCAGGCGACGAGCUUCUAGUUCGGUCAGCUUCACCUGCAAGGUUUAUGAGGACAAAAACAUGGGCAUCCUCUGUUACACUGAUGAGACUGGUGAAUUGCUGUGCGAGGGCUUGGAUGAAGGCCCGAGACUAACGAGGCAAGAUAUUGAGAAAUUGACCCAAGAGAGAGAAUCGAAGAACACGGCAGAAGAUUGGCGGGAGAGAGCGCUGCGGAUCGCGGGCGGGAUCGACUGGAGCGGCCUCCAGUCUGCUGCUGCCACGGGGAAGAAGUGA